Molecule: long non-coding RNA, 3683 nt
Organism: Spinacia oleracea (spinach)
Lineage: Eukaryota; Viridiplantae; Streptophyta; Magnoliopsida; Caryophyllales; Amaranthaceae
Exons: 5
Source: RefSeq, a predicted model, not a curated record
UACGGAGUAACACACACAAAAAACCAUUUACCACCCACUAAUCCACGAUGUACGCGGUUCAUCAGAUCUCAUCUCCCCAAGAACCCUAAACUUAACUUUUCAUUCACAAUUAGAUCCCCCGUCGAAAAUUUUAAGGGUUCCUUUCAAUCCAAAAUUGCCGAGUUUCCUUCAAUCCGAAAUUUGUCGAGUUCAUUUGCGGUUUUGCGGUUUUGUGGUUUCGCGGUUCUUCUUGUUAAGCUGUUCUGAAAUUUGCGUUUUACAGGGGAUGCAGUCCAAGAGAAUUUUGAAGGAGCUCAAGGAGAAAGAUCCUCCUACUUCUCGGACUCAUGAGAUGAAAUUAUUGAGUGGGAUAAGGAAGUUAAACAGCUAGGUAAGACACUCUUAAGGCUAUUCUCUCAAAGAUUGGGAGUGGAGGCAGUUGAUCGAAAGAGAUGUCAUGUUCAGGAGGCAGAGUUAUGGUUGGCCAUUGUUAUCCAUAUUGUCCCGAGCCCAACAAGACAGGUGGGAUCGCGUCCCAUACUGAUCCUGGCGUUCUCACAGUGUUGCUGCAGAAUCAAUUUGGUGGGUUGCAAGUUAAACAUGAGGGGAAAUGGGUUAAUGUCAAGCAAUCCAAGGUGCACUUAUUAUCAAUGUUGGCAACUUGCUUCAGCAUGAACCACAGGUCUCAAUUGCUUUGUUCUUCAACUGUAGCAUGAGGGAGAACUUGUAUGGAUCGAUACCUGCACUACACAACCAUCGGAUUAUUCUAAUGAGGAGUUGGAGCAUGAGCUCUUUCUUGCUUCCUCGGUGCAAUAUUUCAACCAAGGUAUUAAUUUACAAAUGAUUCUAGUUUGUUAAACUUGAUUUCCCCAUAACAAUGAAGAAUAAAGUGUCUUGAUCUUUAAAGAUUGAGGGUUAUGUGCAAUUUAUGAGUAUAAUAUCUAUCCUGUAUGAAACACAGAUAUUUCCCUCCCCAAUAUGUGUAUAGUUUUUUCCCUGUAUAUAGUCACUGCUCAGGUUCUGAGACUUUAAACACCAGGUUCAUGUUUAUAGGAGGAGGCUGGAUUAACAGAAAUUAUUCAAAUAAAAAACAAUUAGAAAGAGAGUGAAAAGUACAUUUUCAGAAGACAUAAGGAGGAGAGACAGAAAGAGUAGGCUGCAGAGAGUAGGGAGUACUAUGGUGUGCAUAACCCUACAUACAGCAUAAUAGGACUUAUCAGGAAAUAGAUAAAAAAUUGAGAAAGAGUUACGGAUUUCCGACUAGCUAGUGUUGAUGUGACAUUGAUAGGGUCUGAUAGUGUAUGGAUCAAAUGUAUUACUGUAGUUUGUAAUCUAUCUAUACAUUAUGAGAUGGUAAGAAUUUUGAAAUGGUAAGAAUUUUUGACUGAAAACUAAACCUUUGUAAUUUUUCUAAUCUACCAUACAAACUUGUGAUGUUUGAGUUUAUGGCCUCUUACUUUCUAUAUUAAGCACUUAGCUCCUUCCAUUUUAAUGCGGAAAUCAGGCAUGCUUUUAGCAUAUGUGGUUGAAGAAUUUUGAGCUACUUCUUCAUAGUAGUAUACAAGUUUGUUGUCCGUCUAUCACAAAGUACCUUUUAAGAUACCGGUUGAUAUUCCAGGAAUCAAGGAUAAGGAUACUGAAUUAGUGUUGGCUUGACUCUUGGAGGUCUUCCACUUUAUUUUUCUUCUAAUAUUCCAAAUAUAUCUUUGAUUGCCUCAUAGCGUGACACUGAUGAUUCAGUUGACUGACUUUCAAGAGUAAACAUCUCUUCCCUAUAGAUGUAUUUCUUUGUAAAAUAGCUUAUUGUGAUGGGACUAAGUGGACUUUGAUUAUACUUCUACUAGCCAAGUCCUUUUGCCCGCCAAUAUUCUUUUCCAUCCACCCUUUUUCUUGCCAUCCAUGAAUUUGGCAUCAGCAUUUCUAGUAGUAGAGGCCACAACUGGGUUUGACCUUAAUUCCCUCGUUUGUUCCUCUGUUGAAUGAUACUCUUAUUUUCUCCUCUAACUCUUCUCCUUACGUAUUUAUGGAUUAGUCAUGUAUUCAGAAAACCUUGAUGAGACAGAAGACUAAUAGGCUCAAUAGCAAAUCCUUUAUUUCCAUCUUUUCACAUAACUCAUAUUCUUAGCAUUGUACUUCGUAUAUAUUUUUGCAUAGCAGGUAGGCAGGUAGCUUUACAAAACUAGUAUGUGUUAAUUGAUCAACUAUUUAAGAACCGAAGAAUUUGACGUCUGGCUUAAAUUUUACUUAGCAAAGGGAUUUAGCUGUUUAAAAUCCCUUGUCUUUACUUCAUGUAAAUUCUAUCUAUUGUUUGCAACAACUCUGUGUUUUGUCUGAUGAGGGACGAGUUGUUGAGGUUGCUCAAAAGCGGUGGAGAAUUGAGAUAAAUUCAAACCAAGAUGAGGUUCUAAUGCUUUCUUCAGUGACAUUGCCUGAUGGCAUCCAGGUUCAUUGUAUGGAGUAUAUUUUUCUUAAUUGCUUUUCAUGUUUUCGGUGUCCGCACAAUUUCUCCAUGUUGGAUAUUGUUACUUGGAAUUUCUCAUGCACCUUCUAUUGAAGUAGGAGUAUCUGAAUUUUGUGUUUUGAACUGUAGGCAGUAUUUAGUUAAAACUCUUUCUGCUUAUAGCCUUCCAGGAUGGUGAUUGUUUAUUUAUUCGUCUUAUUUCUAUUAACAAUUUAGUGGGAUUGAUUACUUCUACUUUGUUUUCUCAAUACUUUACUUUUUCAUCAUGUUGCUCAAUAAGGUCAACCGUCAGUGCACUAUCCAAUAUCUUAAGUUCAGGUAUUAAGUUCCUGGUACUGAUUUGUGAUGUCCUAGCCUUAAAGUUCUUGGGAAUUGACCUGGUUCCCUUAACUAUGACUCUAGGUAUAGAAAACCGAAAACUAGAAAUGCGAAAAUUACACCUUGCUUUUGGGUCAAUUGGAAACAACCUCUCUGCAAAUGCAGGGGUAAGGUUGCGUGCACCCGACCCCCCCUUCUCGCGGGAGCCUCUUUGAGGCAAUGGGGUAAUGAUAAUGAUGAUGAUAAUGGAUGUUCAUAUUUGCCUUUCUAAUAAUAAUAAUGGGCUGUACUUUUGUUGAUUUGGUAAAUAAAAUAUCUGGUAUGUUUGGGCCGUUUCUCUAGCUCUUAUUUUUCUUGAACAAAGAUACAUGUUUGCAUAGCUCUUUUUUGUUUUUGAAGUGAAAUAGGAUUGAUUAAAAUGAGCACUAAGUGGAUACAAAUACAAGUAUGUCUUUUGAUUAUGUUUAUUAAAAUUUUUAUUUUUUUUGAAUAGUAUUCAUAAAUAAUUGAUUUAUUUUUCUUGUGCAUUGUCCUCUGCAAAAGAAUGUCAUGGAUUCUGGAUAUUAUGUCACGAGAUUCAUGUAAGAGAUCAUCGACCAUAAGCAAACUUGAAUAUUUGAAGAUUACUUUCAUGAUUGCAAUGUUCCGAAUUAUGAUCAAGAACAAAUUGAUGAAGUCAGAGCUCAAGGAUGCGUCAUGAUCCUUGUGAAUAUUAUGGUGUAUUAAUUAUGUUUUUCGACUGGAAAUUGUCUACAGCUUUCUAAUUUUAGUAUGUUGAUUUGAAAUUAAAAGAAGGAUUAUGUGACACAUAUACUUUUUUUUCUACUGUGUUUAAUUAGGCAAAAUUGUAUAUGAUUUUAAGUUAUAAGACAUGAGACGUUUAUUUGAUAUGAUAGAAAUGAAAUGGGAUGUUAUAUAUAUUCAA